CCCCUACACUCCUGCCACUGUUCACAAGCUCUGAGGCUUUCAAAUUCUGGUCUCUUUGGUUUCUUCAUCUAUGAAGUAGGCACAGCAACUUCUAACAGAAAUGUAGAAAAGCCUCAGUGGACUGCAUCUCUGUGGCUGCUUUUCAUUUACCAUCCUGUAAUGAAGCAUUUGGUCACUGUCACCGGAUGAUCUCUGAGAAGAUAAAAGCUGAAGCUGGGACCCAGAGUCAGUCCAUGGUCAUCUUUGACUAUUGGCAUGCUGUUGAACAACACAACAUUGGCAGGAGGGGUGAAGAAGUUUAGUGUUGGAGUUUUUAGAUGUGGAAUGUUAUCUGUGUAUACAUCUUCUGGAGGAUGAACCAUAUGUUUGGCAACAUUUCUGCUGUGAAGAUACCAGAGAAGUUCAUCUUUUCAUUGCACCUUUUUAGAUCUGCCAUGUUGAUUGAUUAAAAAUGGAUGUGCAGAGCAAAGCAUGGAGGAGAUUGCUUAUGAUGUUUUCAUUAUGUAGACAGAACCAUGAUGUUUUGCAAAGACCAUAUUUUAACAGAAUAAAUUCAUCGAACUUACAUUCAAACAAGAAAGUCAUCCGUUGUUAACUUAUACGAACGAAAUGUAGAAGCAAGAUUUGGAGGUAUAUGUUUGUAAAGUCAUUUUGCAAUGAAAUGUAAAGACAGAUGAUACAAUGCCUUUUAUAGGAUCAGGUUAAUGCUUAUUGUGCCUGAAGCUUCCCGACUUGACAGAGGAGAACUUGGAUUUAUCAAAUGUUAAACACAUGGCUUUAAUGGUUUGUAUUAGGAGAAUUCCUGAGGGAUUUGUGCUAGUUGUGAGGUUGUAUUCACUUCACUUUAUUUCUUUCCUGUGGCUCUCCUAUUUCCCUUUGGGAUGUGUUUCAUGUGUCUGUUAUUGCUUUGAAGAUUUUUCAUUUCUAUCUCAUGCUUAACACUUGCUGUUGAUUCUUUGUAUAACUUAGGAGAAAUGAACGAUAUUCUUCUCCUAGAGUAUCAGUGUUUAUAAGGUAAACGUGUCUGUGCUGAUUUAGAAAAGAACACAUAUUUUUCUCUCUUUUAUGCUAAGAAUAAGAUUUUAUUUUUUGGUGUUGAAAACUUUUUAGAAACUUAAUAUUUUGUGUUUUAUCUCCAGGAUUAUUCUUUACUUUGUGGAUUAAAGCAGAAGAGUAGAUAUUCUGUGAUUAUUUUGUUAAACAGCAACAUAUUCUAGAGAACUUUGAUUAAAAGGAUAACUUGAGACCACAAAAAGUCCCUCUUUACAAGACAAUUUUAAUCUCAGCUAUCUUUGCAUUUUUUUUUGUUUUAUUAUUUAAUGAUGAUAAAUAUGAUGGUUUUUCCAUGAAGAGAAAUAUAGACAUUGCUGUUAUAAGAAGUUAUUCUAGACAGCAUUUGGGACCCAUUCAUGAAUGUUUUUCUGGCAGUCAUCUCAAUAGAUCAUCUGUAUCUUUUGGUUUGUUGUGUCAGUUUAUAGAUGGCAAAAAUAGUGUAUUUUGAGCAUGACUUGAUCAGCAGUGAUAUAAGCAGUGGAGAAAAUAUAUUGGUGAAUGUGCUUACACAAUGAAUAACUGGAAAACACUCAGCCAGUAUUUCUGUGGGUGUAUCUGUUCUUUUUCUGUUUAUAUUAAACUUGAAUGAUUAAAUAGAAAGCAGGUUCAAAGAAAAAAGAAUAUUGUGGUUUGAGUACAUACAUUCAAACGUAUACUUCUUAUUUUCUUACAUUAAAUCUUUACACUUCACCAUCUGGCAGCGUUGUUCAUCCUCUUAUUUUCUUAACCCUUUCCCAGUUGGAACCACUACCAUGUAACUUUAUGGGUAUUAGAGUUCCUGCCAUGAUUCAAGCAGCCUUCAUCCCUUAAGUAGAAGGGAAGAAGAAUACAAGUCUCAAUUUCAUCAGAAUUAUUUUAAAAUUAUAAACAUAUUAUUGGGUAAAUAAACGCUUUAAGGAGGCUUGGCUGGAGAUUUUGGCAAGUCACCAGCAUGCGGAUUACAAUAGUGAUGAUUAUAAAAAAAAAAAAAAAAUCCUAGGCCAAUUCCUUGAUGUCCUGCUUCUGAUUCCUUUCCAAAACAAGUACAAUGAAUUUAUGGCAAUAUAGAAUCUAUCUGGAGCAAAUUUAGGCUUCUUUCUUUGGAGGAAGAAAAUCUGUAAGACUGGUUCUUUUUAAGACACAGUGACCCUGGUUAGUUCUGUUAGGAUAGAGAGGAAAGUCCUGCCCUCUGUUGUUUUAAGGUACUCUUGAGUAUUAUCUCCUGGCACCGCAAUUGACUGAAAUUGUUCACAGCUUCCAUUUCACUUGCAUGUGAUGUGAUACAAAGAACAAUUUAAGUUCAUCAUAAGGUUUGUAUCAUUAUAAUCACAUUUUCAUCUUUUUAAUAAUUUUUUGCCCAUUGUAAAAUGUAUUAUUUUGCCAUUUGGUCUAUCAGCCCUAGAUGAAUGGUGAGAAUAUGGGAUUUUCAAUUAACCAACAUUUCUCUAGUUUCCUCAACAAACCAGUAUAUAAAUAUGCCAUUUGCAUAGACUUCACUUAAUGAUCACUCUUCUCUAAAGAGCUUUGUUUAUAUCAUUUAUUCCUUCUCCUCUGUCCCAUCUUUUAACAUGGAGAGUCCCAGGGUUUAGUCUUUGUUCCUGGUUUCCUUCCCUUCUAAUUUCUUAUCUUUUUGCUGCUCUGUUUCAUCUUAAGUUUCUGUCUUGAAAAGGUAUGUAUGUGUGUAUGUGCAUGCAUCUCUCUGUCUAUAUGCAUAUAAUUCUGGAGUGUGUGUGUGUGUCUGUGUUUAUCUUAAAUUUACAAUUUUAGUCUAAAUAUCUUCCCUGAAUUGUAUAUAGAUUUAGAUAUCUAAUUACCUACAGCACUUCCAACUAUCUCAUAAGAGUUUUACACUUUCCAUGUCAGAAAUAAAACUUUAUGUCUCUUCUAUGUCCCACCUGAUCUUUCCUCCCCCAAUAGGCAGCCCCAUCUUAGGUAAUGAAAAUUCCAUUUUUCUGGGGGCAUCAGGCCAAACUCAUCCUCUGUAGCCCAUUUUUUCUUCAAAUUCUAUUGAAUUUACCUUUUAAAUAUAUUCAGAGUCCAGUUGUUUUCACCACCUUCACUCAGACAGAUCUCAUCUCAUUUUUGGCCUUGGUACUGAAGUAGCCUUCUCUUUGCUUUUUCCCUUGUCCCUCCAUACUUUCUUCCACCUCAGUGAACUUAUCAGCAAGAGUUAUCUUAUUAGUAUUGUUCUGAAACAUAGUUCAAAUUCCGGCACUUGUCUGUGUAGAAGUCCCCAUUUGACUCUUGGCUCACUUGGAGAAAAAACAAAGGUUUUGCCAUGACCUACAUAGUCAUGAAUGAUCUGUUUUCCCAUUGCUGCCUCCUCCUCCUCCUCCUCCUCCUCCUCCUCCUUCUUCUUCUAAUAAUAAUAAUAAUAAUAAUAAUAAUAAUAAUAAUAAUAAUAAUUUUAGUUGUAGAUAGACACAAUGCCUUUGUUUUAUUCAUUUAUUUUUGUGUGGUGCUGAGGACCGAACCCAGUGCCUCACACAUGCUAGGCAAAAGCUCUGCCACUGAGCCACAAUCCCAGACCUCCCAUUGCCUUCUUGACUAUAUGUCUUACUUCACUUUCCACUCCUUUGGCUUCAGAGUUCAUUGAUAUACUUAAAAAUUCCAGAGACUCUUUUACUUGGAUUUUCUCUUUGCCUGUAAUGAGCUAACAGGGAUAUGCAAUGGCUAACAAGGCCAUCAAUCAAAUAUUGCCUUCUAAUGGAGACUUUCCCUAAACAUACUUAGCAUGAUAUGAAAGUUGUAAGAUCCUAAUUUCCCUGGCAUACUUUAUCUCCUUCUUCUUUCUUUAUUUGACUCUACCUAGCAUUUGCCUUCAUCUAAAGACUCCAUUUUUCACUGAUCUUCCUCAAUCUCAGUUUCCUGAACUAAAAUGUAGAGAAUAUCAACUCUACCAAGGGCAGGGAAUUUUGAUUUUCUUUGUCUAAAAAAAAAAAAACAACACCUCUGUAUCUCCUGUAUUUAUAUAAUGCUUGGUACAUAGUAUGUGUUCAAUAAAUAUUCAUCAAAAUAAUAAAGUAAUAACUGCCAUAUUUUUUGUGCUUUUUCUUCAGCAAAUUGGAAAGAGAUAUAAAGUGCUAUGAAAGCAUCACCUGGCUAGGACUUGGAAUGACAUAAAUAUUUAUUAGAAAUAUGAUCAUAAAUAAAUUCCAUAAACAUGUUAAAUUUCAGUGAGAAUAAUUACAGAGCUUAAAUGAGAUAAUUUAUAUGAAAGUGCUUUCAACCAUUAAUGUUUUCCUAAUGCUAUUAGUGAUCCCCCUCUCUCUUGUGAAUAAAUUAACUUAAUCUUAUAAAUGGAUUAUUUUUAUCAGUACUACAUUAAACUCUCUAUAUUUGCUCUUUAUGUCACUUUCUCUUAAAUUUUCAUGUUUCCUUUUCCAGAUUAAUACAGACAUAUUUAUUGAUAUUUACCAGUGGUAUGCAUGUUAUAGCAACUACAGUGUAAUGGUGGAUACAUAUAUUUAAAGCAAUUUUCAAAAUUCAUUUGUAUAAAGUUACUUAAUUUCUAUUAUUUACCAUGAUUGAUUCUAGGUGCUCUACAAGUAUGAACUUAUUUACUACUUUUAAUAACCUAAUGAGGUCAGUAUUAUCUUUGUUUUGCUGAUGAGAAAAUUGAGAUAGAUUAAUUUGUUCAAGGCCCUAAUUUAUAUUACCUCUGUGUGCAUUCAUGUGUUUGUAUAUUUAAAAGUAAAAUAAUUUAAUGUUCAUAUGGUAGUCUUAAAAAUAAACAUUAUACCUACAUAUUAUAUAGAAGCAUGAUAAAACUAGAUUUUGAGAAUUUAAGUGUUGGCUAAUAUACACACACACACACACACACACACAUAUAUGGAUUGAACCAAGGUGUACUUUACCACUGAACUACACAACUCCAGUCCUUUUUAUUUUUAGUUUUGAGACAAGUUCUCAGUAAGUUCCUUAGUGCCUUGUCAAAUUUCCGAGGCUUGCCUCAAACUUGUGAUCCUCCUGCCUUAGUCUCUAGAGCUGCUGGAAUUAUAAGCAUGCACCACCAUACCCAGGUAUAAUUUUUAUUUAUUUUUUAUUUUUUGGUGGUGAUACAGGGGAUUCAAUCCAGUGGUGCUCUGCUACUGACCUACAUCAAACCCCUUUUCAAAAUUUUGAAACAAGUUCUGGCUAAGUUGCCCAGGCUACCAUGAACUUAUGAUUCUCUUUCUUCAUCCUCACAGGUUUCUAGGAUUACACACAUGUACCAUAGCAUCUGGCUGUCAGAUUUUUAUUUAUUUAUAUGUGUAUUU
This is a long non-coding RNA of Marmota monax (woodchuck), 5291 nucleotides long. RefSeq lists it as uncharacterized. Lineage: Eukaryota; Metazoa; Chordata; Mammalia; Rodentia; Sciuridae. The record is from RefSeq and is a predicted model, not a curated record. The transcript has 4 exons.